Long non-coding RNA from Anopheles aquasalis, 1762 nucleotides. RefSeq lists it as uncharacterized. NCBI's taxonomy places the organism in Eukaryota, Metazoa, Arthropoda, Insecta, Diptera, Culicidae. The record is from RefSeq and is a predicted model, not a curated record.
UGGCGCACGCCAGCUGAAGGGCGGCACUUGAAACUAUGUGAUGGUGAAAGAAGGAAAAGAGUGCAUUCAGUGCUGCGCAAUCGAUGUAACACAAUCGACACCAACUUCCUACUGCACACAUCUGUUGACCUUGUGCCGCGAAUCGGUUGUAAAGCGAGGCAUGGCACGUGACCUGCUGGUAGUGAUAGUGAACCAUUGGAAGGAUAUCGUUUUCACUAACAGAUCGCCGCCGGCAUCACAUUCACCAGCACUUUGGCUCGCCAGUGAGCGAACGAGGAUCUAGAAGGCCACACAGUUACACACCGCACAGAACGCACGCAGAAGACAGGGCGCCUGCUUUGUUGCCUCCAUUCACCAGACGCCCAAAACAGGCGUCACACGCCAUAAGAAGACACACGAUCAUCUGCUACGAGCAUCAGCUGCUGCUGCUGCCAAUUGGAUUAACACACGCUCGCUCCCUCCCGAGAGCUCGAACCAACCACCAGCCACCACGACACAGCACAACGCACGCUCUCCAACACACGCGCACGUGGUCGCGAAAAAUUUGCUGGAAUUGCGCGGCAAUCAGCAGUGCAUCAUCUCAAUGCGCCGCAGCAUCCUCGGCCUCGGCGUAAUGGGAUUCAAGCAUGUUGGAUGAAAUUGCGGCACGGCCGAACACGAACACACAAUCUUACCCUCACGGAACACGGCCACACGCUGGCGCUGGCGUCGUACAUUUGUUAUCGUCGUCGUCGUCGUCGUCGUCGUUGGCCCGUGGUUGCGGUUGUUGUUUCCGUUGUUCUCUCGGCGAUGGAUUGACGAUGUUGUGGCGAAUUGUGGUGCCGCGUAUGUGUGUAGAAUGCGGUUAUUAGUUCUAGUGAUAAAUUAUUCUAACCACUCGUAAACAUAACAUUCCACGAUUUGUUUUUUGCGUCGUCACCAACAAACGCACCCCGAAUGGGCCUCGAACUCGCUCACACGUUGAGCGAACCGAAUUAGCACACUCCAAUCCACGCGGAACCACAGACACGCGAGUUAAGCUAAUUGGUGGAGAUAUCACUGUACGAUGAAAAGGAUAGUAGCUAAUCCUUAUUUACUGUCGUCGACAGCACACAAACCCCUGCCACGACCACUCUACACACCGAACCGUUUCGAUAGACCGCUCAGGGAAGAUUGAGCAGCAAAAAAAAGUUACAAAUUUACGUGCGUGCUCUUGUGACUUGUCCCACGAAUGCGUCCGAAGGUGCGUCGGCAUUCAUCCCGAUUAAAAAGAAGAGAGAGAGCGAGGAGAGAGCCAAGAUAAUCGGAGAGAGAGAAAGAACACGCGACAGACCACGACGUUGACAACAUUAAAGGGUUGUUCAAAACAUCAGCACCCCCCGCGCCGGGGGGUGUCGUCCUCCCGAUUUAGUGGAACGCCGGGUAUAGCAAUCUGGGGAGCUUGAACGGAAGGCGUAACUUUUUUUGCACAUUUUUUUUAUUGUUCUAACAAUUUCUGAUCUUCAACAAUUAUGGGGAUUUUAUAAGCUGAUGUCCAAUUUAAUAGAUAACCAUGAUAGGUUUAUUUUAGAAAAGCAAAACGUAAAGGGGUGUGCGCGUUAUUUUGCCAACUACUGUGCUAACUUUGUGAACGAGAGAGAAACGAACUCGGAUCGCGAGAAAAAUGAACACUUGCUGCUCGUUUCCACAUGGCGCCUAACGUGUGUUGCGUUUUCGAAAAAAUAUGUUCAACAUUUUAAAGAAAAGGUUUAAUAAACAAUAACACAGAUGGCCAUUUCAUUCA